GAGUUUGAUCGUGGCUCAGAUUGAACGCUGGCGGCAUGCUUUACACAUGCAAGUCGAGCGGCAGCGCGGGGGCAACCCUGGCGGCGAGCGGCGAACGGGUGAGGAAUACAUCGGAACGUACCCCGGAGUGGGGGAUAACCCAGCGAAAGUUGGGCUAAUACCGCAUAUGCUCUGAGGAGGAAAGUGGGGGACCUGAGGGUAACUUCGGGCCUCACGCUCUGGGAGCGGCCGAUGUCCGAUUAGCUUGUUGGUGGGGUAAUGGCCUACCAAGGCGACGAUCGGUAGCUGGUCUGAGAGGAUGAUCAGCCACACUGGGACUGAGACACGGCCCAGACUCCUACGGGAGGCAGCAGUGGGGAAUUUUGGACAAUGGGGGCAACCCUGAUCCAGCCAUGCCGCGUGCGGGAAGAAGGCC
RNAcentral lists this ribosomal RNA (415 nucleotides) under uncultured beta proteobacterium. Its description in RNAcentral is "bacterial SSU rRNA". It matches the Rfam family "Bacterial small subunit ribosomal RNA", at positions 9 to 416 of the family's 1533-position model. Lineage: Bacteria; Pseudomonadati; Pseudomonadota; Betaproteobacteria. The record is from RNAcentral.